RNAcentral lists this ribosomal RNA (497 nucleotides) under uncultured bacterium. Its description in RNAcentral is "partial 16S ribosomal RNA". It matches the Rfam family "Bacterial small subunit ribosomal RNA", at positions 28 to 507 of the family's 1533-position model. The record is from RNAcentral.
GAUGAACGCUGGCGGCGUGCCUAAUACAUGCAAGUCGAGCGAACGGACGAGAAGCUUGCUUCUCUGAUGUUACCUGCGGACGGGUGAGUAACACGUGGAUAACUUACCUAUAAGACUGGGAUACUUUCGGGAAACCGGAGCUAAUACCGGUUGAUAUUUUGAACCGGAUGGUUCUAAAGUGAAAGCCGGCCUUGCUGUCCCUAAUACAUGGACCCGCGCUGCAUUAGCUAGUUGGUAAGGUAACGGCUUACCAAGGCAACGAUGCAUAGCCGACCUGAGAGGGUGAUCGGCCACACUGGAACUGAGACACGGUCCAGACUCCUACGGGAGGCAGCAGUAGGGAAUCUUCCGCAAUGGGCGAAAGCCUGACGGAGCAACGCCGCGUGAGUGAUGAAGGUCUUCGGAUCGUAAAACUCUGUUAUUAGGGAAGAACAUAUGUGUAAGUAACUGUGCACAUCUUGACGGUACCUAAUCAGAAAGCCACGGCUAACUACGUG